This 694-nucleotide long non-coding RNA is filed under the name Chrysemys picta bellii (western painted turtle). RNAcentral's name for it is "lncRNA (ENSCPBG00000013721.1)". Lineage: Eukaryota; Metazoa; Chordata; Testudines; Emydidae. The record is from RNAcentral.
UAACCUGGCAUUUUCCAAUACAUGUACAGUAUAUUCUUACCACAGAUUUGGUUUUCUGUGUCUUUCAGUGUCUGGCUUAUUGACCCAAAGUUCUUCAUCGGUGUCUUGCAAACCACUGAGAACACAGAUAUUUUCUCCAUCUGUUUCUUGCAAUUUCCCAGUUGAGAGCUCAAAAUACUUCACUGUUCCUUCCAGAUGACCCUCUAUUGCUGUUCCCACUGGGCAUCAUAAACUCCAUGACUACUUCCAAAAAAUGUUAAGGACUAUUUCAAAGAGCCCAGAAGCACAAAUUGGUAUCACUUCCUACCCCGCAGAGCUGACCAGGCUUAGAGGAGCAGUGGAGAUCAUGGCUGCAAAACACUUAGCACUGGAAAAACAGUGUGACCAUUCCACACUUCUCAAAGAGGAUAUGACAGAGUUGACAACAGCCUCAUCUACACUAAUAAGCAUUACUAGAACAAUGGGAUACCUAACUCGGAGAGAGAAUCAAAAGAUAGGAAAUAAACUCUUUGAAUUUAGUAGGGAAAGUUGGGCAUCAGCAAAAGAAACAUUCAGACAUAUGCAUAGCAGGGAUUCACAGAGGAUCGCUAUGUACUAUUCUCUCAGAGAAGUUUGCACAGUGAUCAUUGGCCUGAGGUGAGUAUGUUGAAAAGUGUCCUGGUAUUUGAUCAUGUCUCUGUUUUGUCAUUUUGUG